This 78-nucleotide ribosomal RNA is filed under the name Candidatus Doudnabacteria bacterium RIFCSPHIGHO2_02_FULL_42_25. RNAcentral describes it as "partial 16S ribosomal RNA". It matches the Rfam family "Bacterial small subunit ribosomal RNA", at positions 1 to 74 of the family's 1533-position model. The record is from RNAcentral. Lineage: Bacteria; Candidatus Doudnaibacteriota.
UUCUUAUAUGAAGAGUUUGAUCCUGGCUCAGGAUGAACGCUGGCGGCGUGCCUAAGACAUGCAAGUCGAGGGGGUUUA